GGGAGGUUGGCGCGGACGUGUCCCUCGCCAACCGGGUCAGAUCCGGAAGGAAGCAGCCCUAACGAGCCCGACAUGGGUCGUUGAUCAGCCUCCCACU
RNAcentral lists this signal recognition particle RNA (97 nucleotides) under Pseudomonadota bacterium. Its description in RNAcentral is "signal recognition particle sRNA small type". It matches the Rfam family "Bacterial small signal recognition particle RNA". Rfam says of the family: The signal recognition particle (SRP) is a universally conserved ribonucleoprotein involved in the co-translational targeting of proteins to membranes. Archaeal SRP consists of a 7S RNA and homologues of the eukaryotic SRP19 and SRP54 proteins. In most bacteria, the SRP consists of a 4.5S RNA and the Ffh protein (a homologue of the eukaryotic SRP54 protein). RNAcentral also lists the same sequence under 2 other names. Lineage: Bacteria; Pseudomonadati; Pseudomonadota. The record is from RNAcentral.